Molecule: ribosomal RNA, 452 nt
Filed under: uncultured bacterium
Lineage: Bacteria
Description: bacterial SSU rRNA
Rfam family: Bacterial small subunit ribosomal RNA
Source: RNAcentral
ACUCCUACGGGAGGCAGCAGUGGGGAAUAUUGCACAAUGGGCGCAAGCCUGAUGCAGCCAUGCCGCGUGUAUGAAGAAGGCCUUGGGUUGUAAAGUACUUUCAGCAGUGAGGAAGGUGGGUAUGUUAAUAGCAUAUUCUAUUUGACGUUAGCUGCAGAAGAAGCACCGGCUAACUCCGUGCCAGCAGCCGCGGUAAUACGGAGGGUGCGAGCGUUAAUCGGAAUUACUGGGCGUAAAGCGCAUGCAGGUGGUUGUUAAGUCAGAUGUGAAAGCCCGGGGCUCAACCUCGGAAUUGCAUUUGAAACUGGCAAACUAGAGUACUGUAGAGGGGGUAGGAAUUUCAGGUGUAGCGGUGAAAUGCGUAGAGAUCUGAAGGAAUACCGGUGGCGAAGCGGCCCCUGGACAGAUACUGACACUCAGAUGCGAAAGCGUGGGAGCAAACAGGAUUAGAU